This 239-nucleotide long non-coding RNA is filed under the name Lathyrus oleraceus (garden pea). RNAcentral's name for it is "Pisum sativum (pea) long non-coding RNA (PSAT_LNC016981)". Lineage: Eukaryota; Viridiplantae; Streptophyta; Magnoliopsida; Fabales; Fabaceae. The record is from RNAcentral.
AAGGACCUUGGAGAAAAAAUUUCAGAAUUUUUAAAGACUUAAAAGUAUUUUUAAACAAUUAAAAAUAAUCACAAAAUCAAUUAAGUCAUGAAAAAUACUAAUAAUGAUCCAAAAAAUAAUGUUAAUUCAAAAUAUGAAAGAGGAAAUUAUUUGAAAUUAUUUGGUGAAACUCUCAUAUUUUUUGGAUCAAUAUUAAAAUUAAUAUGAAUUAAUGAAAAUAAAAGGAUUAAAAUGAAAAU